Molecule: long non-coding RNA, 907 nt
Filed under: Musa acuminata (dwarf banana)
Lineage: Eukaryota; Viridiplantae; Streptophyta; Magnoliopsida; Zingiberales; Musaceae
Description: long non-coding RNA (MACU_LNC007430)
Source: RNAcentral
AUAAAGUUCGAAUUUAGCUCCUUCUCGCCAACCCCAGUGCAACUCAUAAGUAAGAAGGAUACAACUACUAAUAAGAGUAAGAAGGAAACAAGCAUGACUUGAAACCCACAUAUUGUGCAGAAGACUUAGAAUUCCACUCAGUAGUAUAAGAAUGAAACCGAUACUAAUAAGAAGAAGACCGGUCCCUUUGUUUUAGUGACUGGACUCAGAGCCAAGCAACGACAUAAGACGUUGUGCGGCAGCCAUAGCCAUGAAAUAGUGAAGUUAUAUUUAGUUAGAACCGCCAAGACACUGGGCAAGUAACUACGUCAGUUACGCGGGCAGCUAUGAAUACUAUUGAUAUAGGAUUUGGAGGAUGAAACUCUACUGUCAUUGCAGCCCUUAACCGCACUGCUUCUUUCUGCUCGAGUCGACAACUAAGGUAAACAAUGACCUAUCCCCCUAUACAAGGAGCUAGAGCCAAGACUAUAAGUCCUUUCUCCACGACCGACGUAAACAACAGAGGAAACUACUGCUCUGAAAACGAAAACAGCUGACUAGGAAUAUGGCCCCGUAUCUAUACCCAGGCUAACGUAAGCUUACUUUUCUUCAGAUCAAGACUUGGAGCCAAGAACUGAUCUCACUGCUUAUGAUCCUGAUCUUUCAACUUGAACUACACUUCCUGUUAGCAUAGCACACUCUGUAAACUCCCAAUCUAUCUUCUCUGGCAACUGACACUUCUCCUCUUGCAACUAGCUACUAGCAACUACACUGGAAACUUUACCACUACACUACUAUAAGGGAUGGGCAUUUCUACUAGUUUGGGCUGGAAACCUUAACUACUCUACUGGUAUUCAACUAGCACCAGAACAGGACAACUACUUUACUUAAAGGAAGGGGCAAUAACCAUACUUUCACAGCUUACCAA